GGUAGUAAAUAAACCAACAUAUAUUGGCGGUCUUUACUUAUUAGAGAAACUCGCUUUAUAAUCGUAAAUACUCGUUAAUUUUAACUUUUAUUACAAGUUUAUAUACCGCCGUUUAAGGAUUUAAAUUAAACAAAUCUCACUCAUCUUUAAAUACAAAAUCAGGUCAAGGUGUAACUAAUAUAAAAGAAAAAGUAAGUUACACUAAGAACUACUUAAGGAUUAAUUUUAAAAUUAAAAAUGAAAAAGAAUUUAUAUGUACGUCUUAAUUAAAAACUAAAACUGAAAUAUUCCGUAAAGAUG
This 300-nucleotide ribosomal RNA is filed under the name Pholcus mulu. Its description in RNAcentral is "partial 12S ribosomal RNA". Lineage: Eukaryota; Metazoa; Arthropoda; Arachnida; Araneae; Pholcidae. The record is from RNAcentral.